This 1414-nucleotide ribosomal RNA is filed under the name Borrelia sp. Its description in RNAcentral is "16S ribosomal RNA". It matches the Rfam family "Bacterial small subunit ribosomal RNA". Lineage: Bacteria; Pseudomonadati; Spirochaetota; Spirochaetia; Spirochaetales; Borreliaceae. The record is from RNAcentral.
NNNNNNUAANGAAGAGUUUGAUCCUGGCUUAGAACUNACGCUGGCAGUGCGUCUUAAGCAUGCAAGUCAAACGGAAUGUAGCAAUACAUUCAGUGGCGAACGGGUGAGUAACGCGUGGAUGAUCUACCUACGAGAUGGGGAUAACUACUAGAAAUAGUAGCUAAUACCGAAUAAAGUCAAUUAAUUUGUUAAUUGAUGAAAGGAAGCCUUUAANCNNNGCUUGUAGAUGAGUUUGCGUCUUAUUAGCUAGUUGGUAGGGUAAAUGCCUACNAAGGCGAUGAUAAGUAACCGGCCUGAGAGGGUGAACGGUCACACUGGAACUGAGAUACGGUCCNNNCUCGUACGGGAGGCAGCAGCUAAGAAUCUUCCGCAAUGGGCGAAAGCCNGAUGGAGCGACACUGCGUGAAUGAAGAAGGUCGAAAGAUUGUAAAAUUCUUUUAUAAAUGAGGAAUAAGCUUUGUAGGAAAUGACAAAGUGAUGACGUUAAUUUAUGAAUAAGCCCCGGCUAAUUACGUGCCANNNNNNNNNGUAAUACGUAANNNNNNNGCGUUGUUCGGGAUUAUUGGGCGUAAAGGGUGAGUAGGCGGAUAUAUAAGUCUAUGCAUAAAAUACCACAGCUCAACUGUGNAGCUAUGUUGGAAACUCUAUAUCUAGAGUCUGAUAGAGGAAGUUAGAAUUUCUGGUGUAAGGGUGGAAUCUGUUGAUAUCAGGAAGAAUACCGGAGGCGAAGGCGAACUUCUGGGUCAAGACUGACGCUGAGUCACGAAAGCGUAGGGAGCAAACAGGAUUAGAUACCCUGGUAGUCUACGCUGUAAACGAUGCACACUUGGUGUUAACUAAAAGUUAGUACCGAAGCUAACGUGUUAAGUGUGCNGCCUGGGGAGUAUGCUCGCAAGAGUGUACGCGAGGAACCUUACCAGGGCUUGACAUAUAUAGGAUAUAGUUAGAGAUAAUUAUUCCCUGUUUGGGGUCUAUAUACAGGUGCUGCAUGGUUGUCGUCAGCUCGUGCUGUGAGGUGUUGGGUUAAGUCCCGCAACGAGCGCAACCCUUGUUAUCUGUUACCAGCAUGUAAUGAUGGGGACUCAGAUAAGACUGCCGGUGAUAAGUCGGAGGAAGGUGAGGAUGACGUCAAAUCAUCAUGGCCCNUAUGUCCUGGGCUACACACGUGCUACAAUGGCCUGUACAAAGCGAAGCGAAACAGUGAUGUGAAGCAAAACGCAUAAAGCAGGNCUCAGUCCGGAUUGAAGUCUGAAACUCGACUUCAUGAAGUUGGAAUCGCUAGUAAUCGUAUAUCAGAAUGAUACGGUGAAUACGUUCACGGGCNUUGUACACACCGCCCGUCACACCACCCGAGUUGAGGAUACCCGAAGCUAUUAUUCUAACCCGUAAGGGAGGAAGGUAUUUAAGGUAUGUU